Molecule: ribosomal RNA, 380 nt
Filed under: uncultured bacterium
Lineage: Bacteria
Description: bacterial SSU rRNA
Rfam family: Bacterial small subunit ribosomal RNA
Source: RNAcentral
UAAGACAGAGGUGGCUAGCGUUGUUCGGAUUCAUUGGGUGUAAAGGGUGCGUAGGCGGUUUAGAAAGUCAGAUGUGAAAUCCCACAGCUCAACUGUGGAACUGCAUCUGAAACUUCUGAACUUGAGUGCGAGAGAGGUAAAGGGAAUUCCCGGUGUAAGGGUGAAAUCUGCAGAGAUCGGGAGGAACACCAGUAGCGAAGGCGCUUUACUGGCUCGUAACUGACGCUGAGUGCACGAAGGCGUGGGGAGCAAACGGGAUUAGAUACCCCGGUAGUCCACGCAGUAAACGAUGUUCACUAGGUGUCGGUCUCGUUAAAUCGGGGUCGGUGCCGCAGCUAACGCAUUAAGUGAACCACCUGGGGAGUACAGUCGCAAGGCUG